RNAcentral lists this small nuclear RNA (160 nucleotides) under Gossypium hirsutum (cotton). Its description in RNAcentral is "U1 spliceosomal RNA". It matches the Rfam family "U1 spliceosomal RNA". From Rfam's summary of the family: U1 is a small nuclear RNA (snRNA) component of the spliceosome (involved in pre-mRNA splicing). Its 5' end forms complementary base pairs with the 5' splice junction, thus defining the 5' donor site of an intron. There are significant differences in sequence and secondary structure between metazoan and yeast U1 snRNAs, the latter being much longer (568 nucleotides as compared to 164 nucleotides in human). The record is from Rfam by way of RNAcentral. Lineage: Eukaryota; Viridiplantae; Streptophyta; Magnoliopsida; Malvales; Malvaceae.
GUACAAACCUGGACGGAGUCGAUCGGUAAAUAGAAGGUCUGCUGAAUUGGAUAAGCGACUUCCAUUGCACUUAGGAAGGGAGCUUGCCUAAGGUCUACUUAAGUAGGAGAGCUUACGUCAUAAUUGUGAUAGUUGGGGCUUGCGUUCAAGCGGCCCUCGU